GGCAACCCUUAACCAUGAUGUUGUUAAUUGUUACCAUGACCUCAGCAUGCGCUUAGGACUGGCAUUACGUCACGAGGAGUAUCGUUGCCAGUUCUUGUCUUCAGAAGCUAAGAUAAUGUUAACUGCUCAUGAUGAGGCAUCCCAGUUACCUGAAGAUGGCCAGGUUUCACCUUUCCAACUCAUUUUAGAGCGUAGUCUCCUUGCUCAACACCUUGCACAAGUUCAUGAAGAGUUGUGUAGAUCAGGUAUCGUUCAAGUUAGACUCAAUAAGUGGAUUGAGGUCAGCUUUUGUUUGCCCCAAAAAGUACACCGCAGUUUAGCCACAGGCCACCCUGUCAAUUAUGAGGGGUUACUCAAAGGCUUACAGUCACUGAAACCAUAUCACACACUACUAUUACUGGUUGAACGUUCUGAGCUGUUGCAUUCUUUAUCUGCUGAUGCAUCGCCAGCUCUACGCCGUUUACUGUAUGUGGAAUCACCUCUGUGUCCUUUCUACACUCUAGCAGCUGAUGCUGACCUCACACUUCCACAGGUUUUUAUGCUUGCUGGUCACCUGGUUUAUUGGGGUAAAGCUACAGUUAUAUAUCCAUUGUGCAAUACUAAUGUGUAUGUUUUGGCACCAAAUGCUCCUACAGCUAUAAACAGCCCAUUAACAGAACGAUUCAGUGAACAGUUCCCAGGGUCAUCACUUCAUAGAGCUUUGGCAGAAUUCUCUUUACCAAGUUCAUUGAGUGACAAGUGCCAUCCAAUGAACUUUGCUCAGCACCAGCAAGAACAAGUGCAGCAAGUUUUGUGGCUCUUAAGACACGGUCUGCUCCAGCAACUUCAUACUUAUGUUUACUUGGCUCCACCAAUCACCCCGGAUGGAGGAGUAACCAGAUCAAGUGGACGAGAUAUUGGUGGAACAGGACAGUUAGGUAGUCAUGGAACAAGCUCUCCUGCAAGCACAAGUAUUCCUACGCCAACAGUCCAUGAACCUCCACCACUUACCCAUGAUCCACCUUCACUUACCCCACACCCACACAUACAUCAUCAUAACGAUACAACUCGUGAUGCUCUUCACCAUGCUGUAGCCCAGUUGAGUCAGCCAGCAUCGGAGAGUGACCUUGGUUCAGUCUGCAGUGAUGAACGAAGUCCUAGCCCAGGUGUAAGUAUAAGCACCAUCCCAGAUGAUUCCGUUCGCCGUCAGUUAGACACCUUCCUUUCUGUAGCAGAGAAGGAGAUGGUCAUGAAAGUGGAGGCAGCCCAAAAUCCAGAAGAUCUUAAACUUUUUUCAAAGUUGUGCAUGUUUUUCCGUGGCAAACACCAUCUAGAGGAAAUGAUGUACAGAGCCAAUCUUCGAAGAUCUCAACUUUUACAAAUAAUUGACAAAUUUCGUCAGGUUCUUUAUACUUGCCAGCAUCCUGAUGAAUCACUAAACCUCACAGAUCAGACCAUAUGACCUUGGAUGAUAUGAAAAGGUUCUAGAGGUAUUGCCAGCAGUCAUGAUAAAAUAUAUACCAGUACCAGUUACAAAGAGCAGCACAAUAAGAUUUAUGUACUUCAGUAAAGUACGUACUGACAUCCAUAAGAGGAUAGUACAAAGACAAAUAAAAAUGAAGACACAUCACUUAAAUCAGAAGAGGAGAGGAAGGUUCGUUUACCUGGCAAAAUCAUCUAUCGCUUCGUCAACAACUAUCGUAACAUGAUUGUGCCAACCCCUGCAACUGCUCCUCACUCUGCAGAUCUUAGAUUUGCUACAUUUAAGUACAUCACUUUGUUUUCUUUCCAUUCUGCAGUGUAUUCUUUCAGUUCUAUAUAAACUGAAGGUAUCCUUAUUAUAUUGUAUAAUAUUUAUAUGCAGUAUAUAACUGCAGUAUUCUUUCAAGAAAUGCUCGAUUUCAGUUGAACAGUAUAUGGAACUAUUGAAAAAAAAAUCAGUGUAACUUUCUGUAUUUUUUAUUCUUUGUUGCCGAGAUAUCACGAUCAACUUUAAAAGGGAAAAAAGAAGGGGUGAACCCUGCAUUGAUGAAGAAUGACUAUUUUCAGAGGCUGGACACUAGUCAGGGGGAGCAGGUAACAUUAUUAUACAGAUGGUUCACUUUUGGAAGAUGGAAGAGCAGGAAGCGGGGUAACUGUGUAUCAGAAUGGAGAUGAGGUGUACAUACUCUCUGUCAUUGCGAUCAUCACCUCGUAGGGGGUUAGUGCUCUCAGUGCACCUCAUGCGGUUCACUGUAGACAUUACUAAAGGUUCUUUGCAGUAUGCCUUUGGCCCCUAGCUGCAACCCCUGUUUGUUCCUUUUACUGCUCCCCCUUUCAUAUUCUCUUUCUUCCUUCUUACUCUCCACUCCUCUCUCUCAGUGCCAUUUUGCUAGGUGAGACGUUCCCCCCGCAGUUUGAUUAAUCAACAGAUAUCACGGGUUUAACAUACGUCUGGAAAUUGAAAAAUAUCUAGAAGUGUUUGUGAACUGUCAGUGAUAAGAUUAGUGUGAAAAUAGUAGGAUAAAGCGUCUACUAAGUUAGUUUAUCAAGUGAAAUACUGUAAAUCAGAUCAAGAUGGCAGUAAGUUCCAACUGUGGAAAAAAAUGGCGAAAUUUAGCAUGUUUAGCAGAUUUGCAAUACGAUGAGGUAGCAGGAAGGGAGCUGGCAUUUCUCAUCUAUGAGGUCAACAACAGCCCUAACCAAAAAGAUACAAAAGCAUUCAUAGACAUAUUAGAAGGAUAUGAUCCUUCAAACCGAAACAAAUCAACAGAAAACAUCUUGAAAAUAAUUGAAGAAGUUCCAAAUAAAAUCCAAGUGGUCAAGAGACUCAUAAAGAAAAUUUACAUCAGUCAACAUAUUCCGACAAAGAAAAUGAAUAAGGUGAACAUUGUGAAUAUCCUAAUUGAUGCAAUAGUUAAUCCACAAAACCUGAUCAGAAAAGGUUCUGCAUGCAACAUUCCAACGCAUCCUCAAUGUGCUGAAGUAAUGCAAGAUAUGAGUAAGGAUACCAGAAUAGUUUGCUCAACAUGUCUAUCAUGGAUAGACAAUGUUAUUAAAUCAAGACUUUAUGUACAAAUAGUUGAGGAUGAAGAAGAAGAGGAAGAGGAAGAAGAAGAAGAGGAAAACGGAAGAGAAGUAAAUAAAACUGAAAUGACAGAAAAAAAUAAGGAAAACAAAGAACAAGAUAAAAGUAUGGAUGCAGAGAUACUCAUUGAUACUACAUAUGAGGCAAUCAAGCAGCAUACAUACGAAGAAAUAAAUCACGACAUGACAACACAAAAGAAAAUCCCAAAGAGGCUCUACCCAGAUCUGCACACUGAUGGGAAAGAGGAAAAAAUAGACAAGAAAGACAAAGUCUGCAACCUUUUGAAAAGAGGCAAUUGCAGAUUCGGAGAAAGAUGUUACUACAAACAUCCCAAGGUAUGUCACAACUAUGAAAUUUAUGGUAAGUGUGCAUACCUAGACGGCUAUGAGGAUGACUGCAGAGAUCUACAUCCAAAAAUAUGCAAAAACCUAAAAGAAGGAAAAGGAUGUAAGUUCGACAAAAAAUGUAAAUAUAUGCACCCUGUAGCCAUGAAUCAAAAUCAAUUAAAUAAUCAAUCAAAUAAUAAAAUCCAAAAUAAGAAAGAAAGAAAUAAAGAGAGGAACAAAGAAUAUGAGGUGCAGGACAAAAGCAAGCCAUCACCGCGAUAUGGAGUGUCAGCAAAGAAUUUCCAAGCAUCAGCUCCAAGAUACAGCUCAAGAGGUAAAUACUGUAUUUACGAUGCAAGAGGAUACUGCAGGUACGGAGAAAAUUGCAGAUUCAGACACAAAAUGAAUAAUUGUGAUGAAGGAAGAUCAAAUAUUAUGGAAAAGUUGGAUUUUUUAAUGACAGAAUUUCUGGAAAUGAAGAAAAGAACAACAUACCAGAACAGGAAAGAGACAUGGGAAAAUCCUUAUUAUUACCCAUAUUAAAUGAAGGAGAAAACAUGCAAACCAUCAUAGUGAUGAAUGCGCAGGGCUUAGUUACGAGUAACUCAAAAAGAAAAAUAGAGUACUUAGAAGAACUAACCCAAAUUGAAAAGAAAAUAGAUAUAAUGAAUAAAAGUGAAACCUGGUAUUCCCAAGAGACUGGGAAUGACUAUCAAAUAAAAGGGUUCCAAACUUAUAGAUCAGAUAGAAAAAAAUAGGAAUCAAGGGGGAACUGCGAUAUAUGGGAAAGACAAAAAACAAGGAAAAAUAUAUGAGAAAUGUAGUAACUCAGAUUGUGAACUAAUAGUGGUAGAAUUUGAAUCUGAAAAAUUAAUGAACAUAGUAAUAUAUAGACCCCCCUAAUACUAAAGAGUUUGACACAAUAAUAGAAAAAUUGGAUGAUAUAUGUAGAAAUCACAAGGACUGGACUAUUCUCCUAUCCGGAGACUUUAACUUUCCUUUCGUAGGCUGGAAAGAACGAACAGGAGAUUGUGGUCGUAUUUAUACAUAUAAAAAAAGAGAGUAAUAGUAGUGCAGAAGAUAAGAGGCAAUUGAAAAGCUAUUAGAUAUGCUACUAGAACACAACAUUCAACAAAUAAAUCACCUGCCAACAAGAAAGGAAAUUACUUUAGACCUAGUAUUUGUGAACGAGGUGAAUUAUAAUAGUUUAUAAUGCGAGUAUUUCAGACCAUAAUGUCAGAAUUAACAGUCCAUUCCAAAGCAAGUGAAAACAGAGAUAAGCAAGAAAUGAAAAAGUGGGAAGGAUAUGGAAAAUACAACUUCUACAGUAAAAAUAUAAAAUGGUCAGAAAUAAAUGAAGAAUUAAACAAGAUUGGGAUAACAUUUUUAUAAGUGAUGAUAUAAAGGAAAUACGGAGAUAUUAUAUAAAAUAUUAGAGAAAAUAAUGGAUAAAUAUAUACCGAAGAAGAAAAGUAAACAUCAGUCAUGCGUACCAAGAGACAGAAGGAUCUUGUUCCAGAAAAUAAGAAAGUGGAAAAAAGGUCUUGCAAAAGAAAAAAAUGCAUGGAAAGUGAUAGAACUAAAAAGUAAGAUAGAAAAUGCAGAAAAAAAGAUUAUACAAUCAAAAGAAAAUGAAAAACGGGACUUGGAAGAAAAUACCCUGUUAAAUAUCAAGCAAAACCCCAAACUAUUAUACUCGUAUGCAAAAAAGAUUAAUAAAAGAAGAAUAGAAAUAGGCCCUCUAAGAAUUGAAGGGAGAUUAACGAAUGAAAAAAAGGAAAUAUGCAACAUAUUGGCAGAACGAUAUAAGAGAGAAUUCACCCCUAGAAUUGAUAAUGAAGAUAAUGAUAUAGAAGUAAGGGAUGAAAAUAGUAAAUAUUUAGCAGACAUAGAUAUUAAGGAAGCUGAUAUUGUGCAGGCUAUUAAUGAAAUUAAAAAUGGAGCUGCAGCAGGGCCUGAUGGUGUCCCUGCUAUUUUGUUAAAGAAAGUAGUUCAUUCUAUUGCAAAGCCACUUGCAAUAUUAUUAAGACAAAGUGUAGAUACAGGCAAGAUUUAUAAUGAGCACAAAUUAGCAUAUAUUACCCCUACUUUCAAAAGUGCAUCAAGACUAGAGGCAAGUAAUUAUAGGCCUGUGAGUCUAACAUCACAUAUCAUGAAAGUGUAUGAAAGGGUAAUGAAGAAAAAUAUGAAACAUUUAAUAAAAAAUCAUUUGUUUAAUAUAGGACAACACGGUUUCAUACCCGGAAAAAGUACACAAACCCAACUGUUAGUCCACCGUGAGAACAUAUACAAAAAUAUGAAAAGCGGAAAUGAAACAGAUGUGGUUUACCUAGACUUUGCAAAAGCUUUUGACAAGGUAGAUCAUAAUAUAUUAGCGAAGAAAAUUAGAAAGCAUAAUAUAGUGGAUAAAGUAGGAUGAUGGUUAAAAGAAUUCUUACACAACAGAAAACAGAUAGUUAUUGCAAACGAUGAGAAAUCGGAUGAAGAUAAGGUAAUGUCUGGUGUGCCACAAGGUACGGUGUUAGCUGCAUUACUGUUUAUUGUGAUUGCAGACAUAGACAGUAAUGUUAAGGACUCGGUAGUGAGUAGUUUCGCCGAUGACACAAGAAUAAGUAGAGAAAUUACUUGUGAUGAAGAUAGGAAAGCGCUACAAAGAGACCUUAACAAAGUAUAUGAUUGGGCAGAGGCAAAUAGGAUGGUAUUUAACUCUGAUAAAUUUGAAUCAAUAAAUUAUGGAGCAGAGAAGGAAAGCUAUACGCAUAUAGGGGACCUAAUAAUGAGACAAUCACAAAUAAGGAAGCAGUUAAAGACCUUGGUGUGAUGAUGAAUAGGAACAUGUUAUGCAAUGAUCAAAUAGCAAUUCUAUUGGCAAAAUGUAAAGCAAAAAUGGGAAUGUUGUUACGGCACUUCAAAACAAGAAAAGCUGAACACAUGAUUAUGCUUUAUAAAACAUAUGUUCGUAGUCCACUUGAAUAUUGCAGUAUGAUAUGGUGCCCAUACUAUCAAAAGGAUAUUGCACAGAUAGAGAGUGUACAAAGGUCCUUUACAGCUAGAAUAGAAGAAGUUAAGGAUCUUGACUACUGGGAAAGACUACAAUCCUUAAAAUUAUAUAGUCUAGAAAGGAGAAGAGAACGCUACACGAUAAUUCAGGCAUGGAAACAGAUAGAAGAAACAGCCGAAAACAUCAUGGAGCUAAAAAUAUCAGAAAGAGCAAGCAGAGGUAGAUUAAUAGUGCCCAAAACUAUACCAGGAAAAAUAAGGAAAGCACACAGGACAUUUAUCCACUACGCACCAGCAUCGAUAAUGCAGAGUAUAUUCAAUGCGUUGCCAGCUCAUCUGAGGAACACAUGUGGAGUGAGCGUUGAUGUGUAUAAGAAUAAGCUCAACAAAUAUCUAAGCUGCAUCCUAGACCAUCCAAGAUUGGAAGAUGCAAAAUAUACCGGAAGAUGUACUAGCAACUCUCUGGUAGACAUUAGAGGUGCCUCACACUGAGGGACCUGGGGCAACCCGAACAAGAUGUAAGGUCUGUAAGGACUCUCUUCUAACAAUUGAUUCAUAGUGCAACUUCGAGGUUUUCUUCCUGUUACGCCUUUCAAAGUUUUUACUGUCAAUUUCUGUUUCAGUGUUUAAUGACCUCGUAGGUCCUAGUACUUGGGCUUUGGCCUAAAUUCUAUAUUCAGUUUAAUUACGAUUGUCUGAUGGAUGCUCCAUAUUACGGUCAGAACUUCUAGGUAUUACAGCUGCACUGAGUGUCAUAAAAAGGAGUAAGGACAAUGCCAUAAUAGCUACAGAUAGCCUGAGUGCCCUGCAACCACUAAUACCAAGAAAAAUGUAAUCAAAUAUCAUAGUGAGAAGAACUUUAGCCCUGCUAUCACAGAUCAGACGAGCAGACAGAAUGGUCGCAUUUAGUCGGGUGCCUUCACACAUUGGAGUCAUAGGCAAUGAGAGAGCUGAUGAGCUUGCUAAAGAAGGUGCAAGGAAGGAGAGAGUAGACUAUAAAUUGGCACCAUCCCUGAAUAUGGUGAAGGAAUCAGUUGGAAUGGAAACAAUACAAAGACAAUGAGAGAAUAGGGAGGCCCAAAGAAACAUUCAUCAAUAAGAAAAUACCUUUAAAUUACUGAAGGAAAACCAAAUGACUACAAACUUUGCAGACUGGAGAGCAGUAGAAACUACACAACGUGUAGCAAACUAAAGAUGCAGAUACGAUACCUUUGGGAGGUACUGCCAGUUGUCAGUGUAAAGAGAAUACGCAUUACAGACCAUAGGGAGACAGACUGAGUGAAGUUGACCUCCUCAAGCAUUUUCUACAACCUAGUGUGCUGAAAAGGUGUUUGACUACUCAUCUAAUAGAUAUGUAUAUACGUACUAUGUUGUGCACAAGCUAAAUUGUAGUACAUUAUUAUUCUGCAGCUACCUGUUAGCAUCAUUAAAAUUGUUUCUAAUUUUUUUCUGUAUAACGUUGUUAUACAAUUUUUAUAUGUUGAUCUCAGCUAAAUGUAAUUCUUUCAGUUAAAUAAUUAUUUGCAUAUUGUGCAUUAACUAAAUUGUAUUACAUCUUGUUCUGCAGGUACCUGUUAGCACCAUUCAAACUGUUGUAUUUCUACAUUUUUAUAUAACUUUUACAUAAAUUUUUGUGUUGACCUCAUCUAAAUGUUACACAUUCUGCCAGGUAAUUAUUUGAAGUUUUACCAUAAUAUAAAGUAACAACUUGCACAUUAAUUACUCUGAGUAUACCACAUGCUACUCCGUAGCAAUUGUGUUCCUCGACAGAAGCCUGAUAAAAUAUAUAUCUUUUACAGCAGCAAUUAAAAUUAUUUUCUUAAAAUCCAGUAUAUUCAAAAGUUGCAUACUUUCUAAUAUUUACGACAAAUUUUGCAGUGCAAUCUUUUAAUGACUAAUUCCCACUUACCACAUUGUAAUUCCCUGAGAGGUAAAGUUGUCUGUAAGCAUUUAUAUUUUGUAAUACUAUAUUUUGUAAUAAUUCAUCAGCCCUGAUGAAUGACGUUUGUUCAUAGUAAUCAAGAGGUUUUUUCCCAAUACCAUACCAAGUCUGGGUUGCAUGUUGUGCUGUACUUUGUAGGUUUUUUGCAUAAUAAAUUGUUUCUCUUCUUUGUCGCAUCUUGCUUCACUUAAAUCAUUGGCAUCUCAAUUCCACUGCAUAUAUGUGUGUAUAUAUUGUGACAAAGUGCCAAGUAUCUGGUUACUACACUUACCAUUCAUUAAUUGUUACCUCACAACAGCCAGACACCUGAACCUUCAUCACAGGUACUAAACGACUGAAUACUCUAAAGGCAACAGUGAUCCCUUAAACAACUUACUACUUACCAGUACUACAAAAAAUCAGACCUAGUUCAUCAAAACAGGUGUGAGGUAAUCUCAGGUAAAUAAAUUAAUUAAAGGGCAUCACUCCAUCAACAACUUUAAAAGUCUAAGUAUUUCCCUGAUUUCAGAAGUCUAAGUACUUCCCUGGUUCUAACUCACUUCAAGUAAAUUGAAGGAAAACAGUUCAAUUACCACUUUAUGUUUCUACCUAAAUUUGAUUAUAAUUAUAUUGGUAAAAAAGGAAACACUUUAUAAAAAUUUUAAAUACAAAAAUUUAUUAUCAAGCUCAAAAUUUAUAAGUGAAAUUCACAAUAUCAGGGAAAUUACUGUUACUUGAAAACAAAUCAAAGUUUAAUUAAUUUUGAAUUAAAUUAAGUAAAAUUAAAUCAAAAUUAAUUUAUCACAAAAUCAAGAAAAUUUAUUAAUUCGAAAUUCAGAAGUGUUAGGCAAUUAUUAAAAUUUGGAAAUUAAUCCACAAGUGCUAAACAACAAUGAAACUUGAAAGGAAUUUUAAGUAAAUGGAAAUUAAUUCACAAGUAUUAAAUUCAAUUAAAUGUGCAACGAUUAAUUAAUGAAAAUAAUUAAGUCAAUCAAAUUGUGAAUGUAAAUGAAAACACAGAAAAAUGUGGAAAAUAUCAAAAUUGUAAAAAGUAUUAAUCACACAGAAUAUAAAAUAAAAACACACACUUCAAUAAGCAAAUGGAUAAAUGCACAAUAAUCACUUCAAUAAGAAAAAUGAAUAAAUGCACAAAAGAAAAAAUAACUUCAAAUGAAACAAAAACAAAACACAAAAAUUUGCAAUGUGUAAAAAUUUAAACCUGUUUCAUGAAACACUGUAACUAUUAGUUGCAACUAAUAAAAAUAUAACACACAUUACCUUGGUACCAAUUUUCUUUCUGUUGCAGCUAGUUCAAAAAAUUCACCAAUUCACAAUAUUUCACAAAAGAUAAGGCACCGUUACACACUUGUACAAUGUUUGUUCAGAUUCCACAAAAAGCACUAAAUAAUACUAAAUAACUCUUAGAAAUCCAAAAUCUAAAAGUUACGAGUGACCAAUUACGUUAAUAUGAAAUCAAAAGUGACAUGCGAGAGAAAGAGGGGAGAUCAA
RNA transcript from Macrobrachium nipponense, 9802 nucleotides. It is a transcript of the gene named GATOR1 complex protein NPRL3-like, with no coding region annotated. The record is from RefSeq and is a predicted model, not a curated record. NCBI's taxonomy places the organism in Eukaryota, Metazoa, Arthropoda, Malacostraca, Decapoda, Palaemonidae. The transcript is spliced from 11 exons.